AGAGUUUGAUUCUGGCUCAGGAUGAACGCUGGCGGCGUGCCUAACACAUGCAAGUCGAACGGACUUAAUUUGAAACCUAGUGAUAAUUAAGUGAGUGGCGGACGGGUGAGUAACGCGUGGAUAACCUGCCGUAUGCAGGGGGAUACCAACUGGAAACAGUUGCUAAUACCGCAUAAGCGCACGGUGUCGCAUGACACAGUGUGAAAAGGUUUAACGGCAUACGAUGGAUCCGCGUCCGAUUAGCCAGUUGGCGGGGUAACGGCCCACCAAAGCGACGAUCGGUAGCCGGCCUGAGAGGGCGGACGGCCACAUUGGGACUGAGACACGGCCCAAACUCCUACGGGAGGCAGCAGUGGGGAAUAUUGCACAAUGGGGGAAACCCUGAUGCAGCGACGCCGCGUGAGUGAAGAAGUAUUUCGGUAUGUAAAGCUCUAUCAGCAGGGAAGAAAGGUGCCCCUUGGGCGCCUGGACGGUACCUGACUAAGAAGCCCCGGCUAACUACGUGCCAGCAGCCGCGGUAAUACGUAGGGGGCAAGCGUUAUCCGGAUUUACUGGGUGUAAAGGGAGCGUANACGGCAGAGCAAGUCCGGAGUGAAAGCCCGGGGCCCAACCCCGGGACUGCUCUGGAAACUGUU
RNAcentral lists this ribosomal RNA (635 nucleotides) under uncultured bacterium. RNAcentral's name for it is "bacterial SSU rRNA". It matches the Rfam family "Bacterial small subunit ribosomal RNA", at positions 8 to 637 of the family's 1533-position model. The record is from RNAcentral.